UGGACAUUUGAGUGCAUGUAAACAAUCCUACUCUAAUGAACCAUUAUUUUGUAAUGAAAGAAUUGGCUAGAACCAUGUUUGUGUAUAUAUUUUGUCAGCCAACUUCUUGGCCUCAGAUGUAUAUGAAUAUCAUAUUUUAUAAGGGAUGAUUUUUUUUCCGCUGUAUAAAUUAUUUAUGCACUCAUAUUUGUUCUACUAUCAGACACCGUUACCCAC
Molecule: long non-coding RNA, 216 nt
Filed under: Carica papaya (papaya)
Lineage: Eukaryota; Viridiplantae; Streptophyta; Magnoliopsida; Brassicales; Caricaceae
Description: long non-coding RNA (CPAP_LNC011017)
Source: RNAcentral